CUACGGGAGGCAGCAGUGGGGAAUCUUGCGCAAUGGGCGAAAGCCUGACGCAGCCAUGCCGCGUGAAUGAUGAAGGUCUUAGGAUUGUAAAAUUCUUUCACCGGGGACGAUAAUGACGGUACCCGGAGAAGAAGCCCCGGCUAACUUCGUGCCAGCAGCCGCGGUAAUACGAAGGGGGCUAGCGUUGCUCGGAAUUACUGGGCGUAAAGGGAGCGUAGGCGGAUAGUUUAGUCAGAGGUGAAAGCCCAGGGCUCAACCUUGGAAUUGCCUUUGAUACUGGCUAUCUUGAGUACGGAAGAGGUAUGUGGAACUCCGAGUGUAGAGGUGAAAUUCGUAGAUAUUCGGAAGAACACCAGUGGCGAAGGCGACAUACUGGUCCGUUACUGACGCUGAGGCUCGAAAGCGUGGGGAGCAAACAGGAUUAGAUACCCUGGU
RNAcentral lists this ribosomal RNA (435 nucleotides) under uncultured bacterium. RNAcentral describes it as "bacterial SSU rRNA". It matches the Rfam family "Bacterial small subunit ribosomal RNA", at positions 339 to 791 of the family's 1533-position model. The record is from RNAcentral.